Molecule: ribosomal RNA, 505 nt
Filed under: uncultured bacterium
Lineage: Bacteria
Description: partial 16S ribosomal RNA
Rfam family: Bacterial small subunit ribosomal RNA
Source: RNAcentral
GACGAACGCUGGCGGCGUGCCUAAUACAUGCAAGUAGAACGCACAGUUUAUACCGUAGCUUGCUACACCAUAGACUGUGAGUUGCGAACGGGUGAGUAACGCGUAGGUAACCUGCCUGGUAGCGGGGGAUAACUAUUGGAAACGAUAGCUAAUACCGCAUAAUAUUAAUUAUUGCAUGAUAAUUAAUUGAAAGGUGCAAUUGCACCACUACCAGAUGGACCUGCGUUGUAUUAGCUAGUAGGUGAGGUAACGGCUCACCUAGGCGACGAUACAUAGCCGAACUGGGAGGGUGAUCGGCCACACUGGGACUGAGACACGGCCCAGACUCCUACGGGGGGCAGCAGGAGGGAAUCUUCGGCAAUGGACGAAAGUCUGACCGAGCAACGCCGCGUGAGUGAAGAAGGUUUUCGGAUCGGAAAGCUCUGUUGUAAGAGAAGAACGGGUGUGAGAGUGGAAAGUUCACACUGUGACGGUAUCUUACCAGAAAGGGACGGCUAACUACGUG